AUCCAGAUGAUGAGUCCACAAUAGGACGAAAUGCACAGCCUGGAU
This 45-nucleotide non-coding RNA is filed under the name Trichobilharzia regenti. The record is from RNAcentral. Lineage: Eukaryota; Metazoa; Platyhelminthes; Trematoda; Strigeidida; Schistosomatidae.